Molecule: ribosomal RNA, 456 nt
Filed under: uncultured Providencia sp.
Lineage: Bacteria; Pseudomonadati; Pseudomonadota; Gammaproteobacteria; Enterobacterales; Morganellaceae
Description: bacterial SSU rRNA
Rfam family: Bacterial small subunit ribosomal RNA
Source: RNAcentral
AUUGAACGCUGGCGGCAGGCCUAACACAUGCAAGUCGAGCGGUAACAGGGGAAGCUUGCUUCCCGCUGACGAGCGGCGGACGGGUGAGUAAUGUAUGGGGAUCUGCCCGAUAGAGGGGGAUAACCACUGGAAACGGUGGCUAAUACCGCAUAAUCUCUUAGGAGCAAAGCAGGGGAACUUCGGUCCUUGCGCUAUCGGAUGAGCCCAUACGGGAUUAGCUAGUAGGUGGGGUAAUGGGCUCACCUAGGCGACGAUCCCUAGCUGGGUCUGAGAGGGAUGAUCGGGCCACACUGGGGACUGAGACACGGGCCCAGACUCCUACGGGGAGGCAGCAGUGGGGGGAAUAUUGCACAAUGGGCGCAAGCCUGAUGCAGCCCAUGCCGCGUGUAUGAAGAAGGCCUUAGGGUUGUAAAGUCUUUCAGUCGGGAGGAAGGCGUUUGAUGCUAUAUCAUUCAA